Molecule: ribosomal RNA, 202 nt
Filed under: Pseudomonas sp. FIR035
Lineage: Bacteria; Pseudomonadati; Pseudomonadota; Gammaproteobacteria; Pseudomonadales; Pseudomonadaceae
Description: partial 16S ribosomal RNA
Rfam family: Bacterial small subunit ribosomal RNA
Source: RNAcentral
GGAUGUGAAAGCCCCGGGCUCAACCUGGGAACUGCAUCCAAAACUGGCAAGCUAGAGUACGGUAGAGGGUGGUGGAAUUUCCUGUGUAGCGGUGAAAUGCGUAGAUAUAGGAAGGAACACCAGUGGCGAAGGCGACCACCUGGACUGAUACUGACACUGAGGUGCGAAAGCGUGGGGAGCAAACAGGAUUAGAUACCCUGCU